Long non-coding RNA from Xenopus tropicalis (tropical clawed frog), 560 nucleotides. RefSeq lists it as uncharacterized. The record is from RefSeq and is a predicted model, not a curated record. Lineage: Eukaryota; Metazoa; Chordata; Amphibia; Anura; Pipidae. The transcript has 3 exons.
CCACCUAGAGACAGGGGGGGAGGAAAGUAGUUUCCCCGGCGCCCCAGGCGCACCCAUUUGGCACAGAGGAGAGGGCGCACCCCGGCCUGUACGCCAUUCCCCCACACGUCACCCAGCGGCUCCAGCCCUGCCCGCCAUGUCACUCAAAAAUCGCUCCACGCUGAGUCCCCGCCCCACUCCCACGGAGUCCCGCCGUGCCCGGCCAUACAGCUGAGCGCCUCAUCUCUCCCCAGCCGGGCCAGCCAAUGGGAGUGCGGGACGUGCGCUCGGAUGUUUCCCGCUCACACCCCCCUGCCGUGUGUGGGGCUGGGACAGACCCAGGCAGGUUGUAUACACCGGACAUCUGCCAAACCCAGAAUCAUCUGAUGGUGACGUGAGAUAGAAGUCUUCCCUCUGCUCCAGAGUCCAGUAGGGUGACCUUUACUCCCCUCCAGCUGACACUUGGCACAUAAGGAUUGCGCUUCAUUACUCAGGCUCUCAGCUAAUAUGGUUUCUGAAAUACUCACUUGUCCGGCCCCUCCAGGUUAUCCAUGAUCCAUAAUCGGACUUCAGAUACAGCA